Molecule: ribosomal RNA, 253 nt
Filed under: uncultured bacterium
Lineage: Bacteria
Description: partial 16S ribosomal RNA
Rfam family: Bacterial small subunit ribosomal RNA
Source: RNAcentral
UACAGAGGGGGCAAGCGUUGUUCGGAAUUACUGGGCGUAAAGGGCGUGUAGGCGGCCUUCUAAGUCGAACGUGAAAUCCCCGGGCUCAACCCGGGAACUGCGUCCGAUACUGGAAGGCUUGAAUCCGGGAGAGGGAUGCGGAAUUCCAGGUGUAGCGGUGAAAUGCGUAGAUAUCUGGAGGAACACCGGUGGCGAAGGCGGCAUCCUGGACCGGCAUUGACGCUGAGGCGCGAAAGCCAGGGGAGCAAACGGG